Molecule: ribosomal RNA, 202 nt
Filed under: uncultured bacterium
Lineage: Bacteria
Description: partial 16S ribosomal RNA
Rfam family: Bacterial small subunit ribosomal RNA
Source: RNAcentral
GACGAACGCUGGCGGCGUGCUUAACACAUGCAAGUCGAGCGGUAAGGCCCUUUCGGGGGUACGACGAGCGGCGAACGGGUGAGUAACACGUGGGUGACCUGCCCUUACGCUCUGGGAGUAAAGCCUGGGAAACGUGGGUCGUAAUACCGGAUAUGACCUCAUGACUCAUGUUGUGGGGUGGAAAGCCUUGUGCGGCUAGGGA